Molecule: long non-coding RNA, 676 nt
Filed under: Olea europaea subsp. europaea
Lineage: Eukaryota; Viridiplantae; Streptophyta; Magnoliopsida; Lamiales; Oleaceae
Source: RNAcentral
GAUGAAGUAAGGAAAACUAUAUCUUUAAUGAUCCAUAUGAAAAAGAAAAUGAUGACGGUGACAUUGUUAUAGGAUAUAUCAUAGCCAUACAAAAAUAUAAAAGGAUUGAAUAUCAAAUAAUUCUGGAUGAGCCAAGUAUUUAUGGAGGAUCUCUUUCUCAUUCAACCCUAGGAAACAACAAGAGAAGAAGGACAUGUAAAAAUUGAGGAACUAAUUAUAAAGGAGCCAAACAAAUUAGUGGCAUUCAAUGUAGGUGAAAUUAGUAUGCAAACCUCCAACUUCAUUGAUUUGUGGUUUAAAGUCAAUGAGGAGAUCAAAGUACUUUUAAUUAAGUUUGAAUCGAGCAAUUUAGGCAAGUUAUGCCAUAUUCAAGUCGAAAAAGUAAUAUUUUGGAGGAUGGACAAAAUAUGGUACAAAGAUAAUCUACGCAAGAUAAACAACCCUAUUCAAAGUUUUAUGAAAUAUCACAGUCCACAUGCUUGAAACUAUAAAUCAAUAACUAAUGGGAGGCAACCCAAUUCUUAACCUUAAAUUAUUAUUAUUAUUAUUAUUAUUAUUAUUAUUAUUAUUAUUAUUAUAUUAUUUAGGAUUACAUUUUAAAUAUAUGUAUAUUUUUCUAAUUUUCUAAACAAAAAGUCUGCAUUGUUCGUAGUCAGUUAUGGAUUUGCAAUCCUUG